RNAcentral lists this ribosomal RNA (915 nucleotides) under Trichophyton verrucosum. Its description in RNAcentral is "LSU rRNA". It matches the Rfam family "Eukaryotic large subunit ribosomal RNA", at positions 38 to 967 of the family's 3401-position model. The record is from RNAcentral. Lineage: Eukaryota; Fungi; Ascomycota; Eurotiomycetes; Onygenales; Arthrodermataceae.
GCAUAUCAAUAAGCGGAGGAAAAGAAACCCAACAGGGAUUGCCCCAGUAACGGCGAAGUGAAGCGGCAAGAGCUCAAAUUUGAAAUCUGGCCUCCUCCGGGGGUCCGAGUUGUAAUUUGCAGAGGAUGCUUCGGGUGCGGCCCCCGUCUAAGUUCCUUGGAACAGGACGUCAGAGAGGGUGAGAAUCCCGUCUUGGGCGGGCGGCCCGCGCCCGUGUGAAGCUCCUUCGACGAGUCGAGUUGUUUGGGAAUGCAGCUCUAAGCGGGUGGUAAAUUUCAUCUAAAGCUAAAUACUGGCCGGAGACCGAUAGCGCACAAGUAGAGUGAUCGAAAGGUUAAAAGCACCUUGAAAAGGGAGUUAAACAGCACGUGAAAUUGUUGAAAGGGAAGCGCUUGCGGCCAGACUCGGGGGCGGGGUUCAGCGGGCGCUCGUCGCCCGUGCACUCCCCGCGCCCCGGGCCAGCAUCAGUUUCGACGGCCGGUCAAAGGCCCCCGGAAUGUGUCGUCUCUAGGGACGUCUUAUAGCCGGGGGUGCAAUGCGGCCCGUCGGGACUGAGGAACGCGCUCCGGCUCGGAUGCUGGCGUAAUGGCCGUAAGCGGCCCGUCUUGAAACACGGACCAAGGAGUCUAACAUCCACGCGAGUGUUCGGGUGUCAAACCCGUGCGCGCAGUGAAAGCGAACGGAGGUGGGAGCCUUUGGGCGCACCAUCGACCGAUCCUGAAGUCUUCGGAUGGAUUUGAGUAGGAGCGUGGCCGUUGGGACCCGAAAGAUGGUGAACUAUGCCUGAAUAGGGUGAAAGCCAGAGGAAACUCUGGUGGAGGCUCGCAGCGGUUCUGACGUGCAAAUCGAUCGUCAAAUUUGGGCAUAGGGGCGAAAGACUAAUCGAACCAUCUAGUAGCUGGUUCCUGCCGAAGU